Molecule: ribosomal RNA, 406 nt
Filed under: uncultured bacterium
Lineage: Bacteria
Description: partial 16S ribosomal RNA
Rfam family: Bacterial small subunit ribosomal RNA
Source: RNAcentral
AUUGAACGCUGGCGGCAGGCCUAACACAUGCAAGUCGAACGAGUGGCGGACGGGUGAGUAAUGUCUGGGAAACUGCCCGAUGGGGGGGGAUAACUACUGGAAACGGUAGCUAAUACCGCAUACCAUCGGAUGUGCCCAGAUGGGAUCAGCUAGUAGGUGGGGUACCGGCUCACUUAGGCGACGAUCCCUAGCUGGUCUAAGAGGAUGACCAGACACACUGUAACUGUGACACGGUCCAGACUCCUACGGGAGGCAGCAUGGGGGAAUAUUGCACAAUGGGCGCGAGCCUGAUGCAGCCAUGCCGCGUGUAUGAAGAAUUCCAUCGGGUUGUAAAGUACUUUCAGCGAGGAGGCGUUACGCGCAGAAGAAGCACCGGCUAACUCCGAGCCAGCAGCCGCGGUAAUAC